AACGAACGCUGGCGGCAGGCCUAACACAUGCAAGUCGAGCGGACCUUUCGGGGUCAGCGGCGGAUGGGUGAGUAACGCGUGGGAAUAUGCCCUUCUCUACGGAAUAGUCCUGGGAAACUGGGGGUAAUACCGUAUACGCCCUUUGGGGGAAAGAUUUAUCGGGGAAGGAUUAGCCCGCGUUGGAUUAGGUAGUUGGUGGGGUAAUGGCCUACCAAGCCGACGAUCCAUAGCUGGUUUGAGAGGAUGAUCAGCCACACUGGGACUGAGACACGGCCCAGACUCCUACGGGAGGCAGCAGUGGGGAAUCUUAGACAAUGGGGGCAACCCUGAUCUAGCCAUGCCGCGUGAGUGAUGAAGGCCUUAGGGUUGUAAAGCUCUUUCAGCUGGGAAGAUAAUGACGGUACCAGCAGAAGAAGCCCCGGCUAACUCCGUG
RNAcentral lists this ribosomal RNA (433 nucleotides) under uncultured bacterium. Its description in RNAcentral is "partial 16S ribosomal RNA". It matches the Rfam family "Bacterial small subunit ribosomal RNA", at positions 29 to 507 of the family's 1533-position model. The record is from RNAcentral.